AAAGUGAGCGUGGCUCAGUGGAAAGAGCCGGCCGGAGCCGUAGGUGGUUUUCCCAGGGUGAGGCUCCGCCAUUGCACUUGGGCUGUGCUGACCCCUGCGAUUUCCCCAAAUGCGGGAAACUCGACUGCAUAAUUGGUGGUAGUGGGGGACUGCGUUCGCGCCCUCCCCUG
This 170-nucleotide small nuclear RNA is filed under the name Ornithorhynchus anatinus (platypus). RNAcentral describes it as "U1 spliceosomal RNA (multiple genes)". It matches the Rfam family "U1 spliceosomal RNA". Rfam says of the family: U1 is a small nuclear RNA (snRNA) component of the spliceosome (involved in pre-mRNA splicing). Its 5' end forms complementary base pairs with the 5' splice junction, thus defining the 5' donor site of an intron. There are significant differences in sequence and secondary structure between metazoan and yeast U1 snRNAs, the latter being much longer (568 nucleotides as compared to 164 nucleotides in human). Lineage: Eukaryota; Metazoa; Chordata; Mammalia; Monotremata; Ornithorhynchidae. The record is from Rfam by way of RNAcentral.